UUCGCGUUGGUGUCGCUCAUGCCGGUUGGACUUGCUCUUCACGGACCAGUUGUGUGGAUAGAGCCUGAUAGUCGCAACGGGGCAGGGACGGGUGUGUUCACAGUCCCAGGGACGGGUAUGCUUACAGUCCCGAUUGGAUUGGGUCAGAUUUAACAUUUCCUACAGCUGGUUAGUGUAGAGCAUGAUAGUGUAGUGAACGAUAGCGGUAGAGUUUACUUCCUGCUUUCCUGACUAUUCUUGCUCCCUCAUGUAGACUUAGUGGGUGGACCGAUGUUGUUUUGGGC
Molecule: long non-coding RNA, 284 nt
Filed under: Ananas comosus (pineapple)
Lineage: Eukaryota; Viridiplantae; Streptophyta; Magnoliopsida; Poales; Bromeliaceae
Description: long non-coding RNA (ACOM_LNC017526)
Source: RNAcentral